This 510-nucleotide ribosomal RNA is filed under the name uncultured bacterium. Its description in RNAcentral is "partial 16S ribosomal RNA". It matches the Rfam family "Bacterial small subunit ribosomal RNA", at positions 28 to 507 of the family's 1533-position model. The record is from RNAcentral.
GACGAACGCUGGCGGCGUGCUUAACACAUGCAAGUCGAACGAAGAGCGAUGGAAGCUUGCUUCUAUCAAUCUUAGUGGCGAACGGGUGAGUAACGCGUAAUCAACCUGCCCUUCAGAGGGGGACAACAGUUGGAAACGACUGCUAAUACCGCAUACGAUCUAAUCUCGGCAUCGAGGAUAGAUGAAAGGUGGCCUCUACAUGUAAGCUAUCACUGAAGGAGGGGAUUGCGUCUGAUUAGCUAGUUGGAGGGGUAACGGCCCACCAAGGCGAUGAUCAGUAGCCGGUCUGAGAGUAUGAACGGCCACAUUGGGACUGAGACACGGCCCAGACUCCUACGGGAGGCAGCAGUGGGGAAUCUUCCGCAAUGGACGAAAGUCUGACGGAGCAACGCCGCGUGAGUGAUGACGGCCUUCGGGUUGUAAAGCUCUGUUAAUCGGGACGAAAGGCCUUCUUGCGAAUAGUGAGAAGGAUUGACGGUACCGGAAUAGAAAGCCACGGCUAACUACGUG